Long non-coding RNA from Oncorhynchus keta (chum salmon), 1047 nucleotides. RefSeq lists it as uncharacterized. The transcript is spliced from 2 exons. The record is from RefSeq and is a predicted model, not a curated record. Lineage: Eukaryota; Metazoa; Chordata; Actinopteri; Salmoniformes; Salmonidae.
CGUACACAUCACGGACAAACCGAAAUGGUCCACCCACACAGACAGCGUGGUGAACCUCAGGAGGCUGAAUAUAUAUGGCUUGUCACCGAAAACACUCACAAACUUUUACAGAUGCACAAUUGUCGGGCUGUAUCACCGCCUGGUACGGCAUCUGCUCCGCCAACAACCGUAAGGCUCUCCAGAGGGUGGUGCGGUCUACACAAAGCAUCACCGGGGGGCAAACUACAUGCUAUCCAGGACACCGACACCACCCGAUGUCACAGGAAGCCCAAAAAUAUCAAGGACAACAACUACCCGAGCCACUGCCUGUUCACACCGCUACCAUCCAGAAGGCAAGAUGAACGUGGUACCUUCAGGCAUUUGGAAAUUGCUCCCAUCCCAAGGAUGAACCAGACUUGUGGAGGUCUACAUAUUUUUUCUGAGGUCUUGGCUGAUUUCUUAUGAUUUUCCCAUGGUGUCAAGCAAAGAGGCACUGAGUUUGAAGGUAGGCCUUGAAAUACAUCCACAGGUACACCUCCAAUUGACUCAAAUGAUGUCAAUUAGUGUAUCAGAAGCUUCUAAAGCCAUGACAUCAUUUUCUGGAAUUUCCCAAGCUGUUUAAAAGCACAGUGAACUUAGUGCAUGUAAACUUCUGACCCACUGGAAUUGUGAUACAGUGAAAUAAUCUGUCUGUAAACAAUUGUUGGAAAAAUGACUUGUCAUGCUGAAAGUAGAUGUCCUAACCGACUUGCCAAAACUAUAGUUUGUUAACAAGCAACUUGUGGAGUGGUUGAAAAACUAGUUUUAAUGACUCCAAUCUAAGUGUAUGAAAACUUCCGACUUCAACUGUAUAUAAAGCACAGGAAAUCAUGUUUUUACUGCAUUGGGUCUUUAAUAAUCUUUGUGUCAUCAUAAUGAUAUUGGUGAUAAUGUACUGUUAUGGUCCGAUAGAAAUGUAACAUGAAAUUAAUUUGACCAUCAUUAAUUAUUACCCUUACAAUACUGGUAUUGAGAUGUAUUCAUAAUGUGUUCAUAAUCAAUACAAAUAAAAUAAUAUUGUUGUCAGUG